This 253-nucleotide ribosomal RNA is filed under the name uncultured bacterium. Its description in RNAcentral is "partial 16S ribosomal RNA". It matches the Rfam family "Bacterial small subunit ribosomal RNA", at positions 524 to 776 of the family's 1533-position model. The record is from RNAcentral.
UACAGAGGGUGCGAGCGUUAAUCGGAAUUAUUGGGCGUAAAGAGCUCGUAGGCGGUCUGUCGCGUCUGCUGUGAAAACUCAGGGCUUAACCCUGAGCUUGCAGUGGGUACGGGCAGACUAGAGUGCGGUAGGGGAGACUGGAAUUCCUGGUGUAGCGGUGAAAUGCGCAGAUAUCAGGAGGAACACCGGUGGCGAAGGCGGGUCUCUGGGCCGUAACUGACGCUGAGGAGCGAAAGCAUGGGGAGCGAACAGG